GUGCCAGCCGCCGCGGUAAUACGUAGGUCCCGAGCGUUAUCCGGAUUUAUUGGGCGUAAAGCGAGCGCAGGCGGUUAGAUAAGUCUGAAGUUAAAGGCUGUGGCUUAACCAUAGUACGCUUUGGAAACUGUUUAACUUGAGUGCAGAAGGGGAGAGUGGAAUUCCAUGUGUAGCGGUGAAAUGCGUAGAUAUAUGGAGGAACACCGGUGGCGAAAGCGGCUCUCUGGUCUGUAACUGACGCUGAGGCUCGAAAGCGUGGGGAGCAAACAGGAUUAGAU
Molecule: ribosomal RNA, 278 nt
Filed under: uncultured Streptococcaceae bacterium
Lineage: Bacteria; Bacillati; Bacillota; Bacilli; Lactobacillales; Streptococcaceae
Description: partial 16S ribosomal RNA
Rfam family: Bacterial small subunit ribosomal RNA
Source: RNAcentral